This 348-nucleotide unclassified non-coding RNA is filed under the name soil metagenome. RNAcentral describes it as "partial contains 5.8S ribosomal RNA, internal transcribed spacer 2, and large subunit ribosomal RNA". The stretch from base 1 to 120 matches the Rfam family "5.8S ribosomal RNA", at positions 35 to 154 of the family's 154-position model. The record is from RNAcentral.
GAUGAAGAACGUAGUAAAAUGCGAGAAGUAAUGUGAAUUGCAGAAUUCAGUGAAUCAUCGAAUCUUUGAACGCACAUUGCGCCCGCUGGUAUUCCGGCGGGCAUGCCUGUUCGAGCGUCAUUUCAACCCUCAAGCCCCCGGGUUUGGUGUUGGGGAUCGGCUCUGCCCUUCUGGGCGGUGCCGCCCCCGAAAUACAUUGGCGGUCUCGCUGCAGCCUCCAUUGCGUAGUAGCUAACACCUCGCAACUGGAACGCGGCGCGGCCAUGCCGUAAAACCCCAACUUCUGAAUGUUGACCUCGGAUCAGGUAGGAAUACCCGCUGAACUUAAGCAUAUCAAUAAGCGGAGGA